GUAUUAAAUCUGUCUACAUUACUUAGAAAAUAUUGUUAGUAAGCGGGCUGAUAAAUUUGAGAACUUCACUUAUUUAUAUUUUACACUGUUUUCAAUCAAGCACUGGAAUUUCUGACUUCAUGUGAACUCACCACAGCGUUUCUACGAGGCGCUCGCGCUGCGCUCCCUCCUCCCCUUUUGCUGGCUUCGUCAGACGACUAGAGAGAGAAACUCCUGGUGGUUUAUCGACUGUUUGGCUGAGAGAUUGUUUGCUGCUUCCUGUGCUUCUGCUGCGACUCCGAGAGAACGGGUUUCAGGAUUCCUGCUUUGUCUGGUGUCCUGGUGUCCUCCACCUCUCUACCCCUCCCCCCCUCUACCUCUAUCAUUUUUGGAUAUCUAUCUUUCCUGUCACUCUAGUGCAUAUCUAUCUACAUAUUGGUUAUUCUAUCUUGUAUCAAUCUAUCCCUCAUCUAUCUUUAGCACCUUAUACCCCAGAUAGGGUGGUGCGCCAUUAGCACCUUAUACCCCAGAUAGGGUGGUGCGCCAUAUUGGUUUUUGAUCUUUUUGGAUUCUGAUAUAUGACACCAGAAAUAUAUGCUACCUGAUAUAUUGGACAAAGUUGUAUGGUUCUCUGAUCUUCUGUCUUAAUGGACUCUCAUUAUUGGCCUUUCUGAAAUAUUUGGUUAUAAACCCUCAUCGGUAGUCCGUGGUGAUCCUGCUGAGGUCUAUCUGUUCUAAUCCUGAGAGCAUCUCCGCCCUCACGCUCUAUCUCUCCGCUGUUCUGUCCUGUCCUGCACCCUUGCACUUAGAAUUGGAAAGAACAUAGUUAACUGGAAUUGCUAUACAAUAAAAAUACUCUUCCAGAUUUGACAUAAACAUUUAACAUUAAUUGGACCAAAGACAAAUACAGUUAUUUGAAAUAUAAGCUUGUACAUUUGCAGCAGAAUAAAGAAGUCAAUACACAAAAAAAUUUGGCUGGACUUCAGACAUAUUUUAUACUUUAUAUCAUUUUGAUCUUUUGAUAGAGAUCAGCUCAAUUUAUUCAUCGCCAAAAGUACAUCUUUAUACAGCGCUUGUGAUUUGUAGUUCACUAUUGAGAUAAAUCCACACAUAAAAUCCAAUUGGAUUAUAGUAAAAUCCAGAGCACUGUCAUUUAUCUCAGUUUGUUCCUGCUCCUCAUUUUGGACUAACUGAAGGUUUGUGAUCUGUAAGUAUUUGUACUGCACUCACUUAAAGUUUGUUAUUUGUGUUAAAAUAUAUAAAUAAAAGUAAAAAAUAACCGCUAGAA
Long non-coding RNA from Melanotaenia boesemani (Boeseman's rainbowfish), 1267 nucleotides. RefSeq lists it as uncharacterized. The transcript has 6 exons. The record is from RefSeq and is a predicted model, not a curated record. Lineage: Eukaryota; Metazoa; Chordata; Actinopteri; Atheriniformes; Melanotaeniidae.